This is a long non-coding RNA of Triticum dicoccoides, 500 nucleotides long. RefSeq lists it as uncharacterized. Lineage: Eukaryota; Viridiplantae; Streptophyta; Magnoliopsida; Poales; Poaceae. The record is from RefSeq and is a predicted model, not a curated record. The transcript is spliced from 2 exons.
GACCUCCCCGUCUCCUCCGCGUCGGCGCACCUACAGCAGUACAGCUCAUCACCAUGGCAGCGCUGCUACAUCACCACACCCCCCAUCUAGUGCUAGUAUGCGGGAAACCAACAAUGUGCGGCGUUGAACUCCUCCAGUGGGAUUUUUUGCUUCAGUCGGCAAGAUGGUGGUUGGCGGCAAUGGCGGUGGCGGAGAAUAAUAAGGAGAUGAUAGUGCUCGGCGGCGACGGCAUGGCCGCUAUGAAUUGUUUUUGCUGGAAUCAACCUUUGCUCUUGCUACAUGGGAGAAGACUAUGUGAUGGGAAUCAGCUGUAUCCAGUGAAAUUUUUUGCUACAUUUGUCAUCAAUUUUUCUUGGAACCAGCACGAGCGUCGGCUAUGACCGUCGCGCGGCGGAGCUACAACUAUGAGAAAUGCUACAACCGAUGCUUCAAUUUGCUAUUGUUGGCGUUUUUUUGCCGGAACCAGUCGAAAGUAGGCGCGGAGGAGCUGCAUCCAACGA